AUUUAUAUAGUUUAACUUAAAACACUACAUUUUCAAUGAAGAGAUGAAUUAAUUUCUAUAAAUA
Molecule: transfer RNA, 64 nt
Filed under: Leptocorisa lepida
Lineage: Eukaryota; Metazoa; Arthropoda; Insecta; Hemiptera; Alydidae
Description: tRNA-Glu
Rfam family: tRNA
About the family: Transfer RNA (tRNA) molecules are approximately 80 nucleotides in length. Their secondary structure includes four short double-helical elements and three loops (D, anti-codon, and T loops). Further hydrogen bonds mediate the characteristic L-shaped molecular structure. tRNAs have two regions of fundamental functional importance: the anti-codon, which is responsible for specific mRNA codon recognition, and the 3' end, to which the tRNAs corresponding amino acid is attached (by aminoacyl-tRNA synthetases). tRNAs cope with the degeneracy of the genetic code in two manners: having more than one tRNA (with a specific anti-codon) for a particular amino acid; and 'wobble' base-pairing, i.e. permitting non-standard base-pairing at the 3rd anti-codon position.
Source: RNAcentral